This 839-nucleotide ribosomal RNA is filed under the name Agaricus flocculosipes. RNAcentral's name for it is "partial large subunit ribosomal RNA". It matches the Rfam family "Eukaryotic large subunit ribosomal RNA", at positions 81 to 906 of the family's 3401-position model. Lineage: Eukaryota; Fungi; Basidiomycota; Agaricomycetes; Agaricales; Agaricaceae. The record is from RNAcentral.
AAGUUUCUGCGAAGUGAAGCGGGAAAAGCUCAAAUUUAAAAUCUGGCAGUCUCUGGCUGUCCGAGUUGUAAUCUAGAGAAGUAAUGCCCGUGCUGGACCGUGUAUAAGUCUCCUGGGAUGGGGCGUCAUAGAGGGUGAGAAUCCCGUCUUUGACACGGACUACCAGUGCAUUGUGGUAUGCUCUCAAAGAGUCGAGUUGUUUGGGAAUGCAGCUCAAAAUGGGUGGUAAAUUCCAUCUAAAGCUAAAUAUUGGCGAGAGACCGAUAGCGAACAAGUACCGUGAGGGAAAGAUGAAAAGAACUUUGGAAAGAGAGUUAAACAGUACGUGAAAUUGCUGAAAGGGAAACGCUUGAAGUCAGUCGCGUUGGCCGGGGAUCAGCCUUGCUUUUGCAUGGUGUACUUUCUGGUUGACGGGUCAGCAUCAAUUUUGACCGCUGGAAAAAGACCUGGGGAAUGUGGCAGCUUCGGCUGUGUUAUAGCCCCUAGUCGCAUACAGUGGUUGGGAUUGAGGAACUCAGCACGCCGCAAGGCCGGGUUUCGACCACGUUCGUGCUUAGGAUGCUGGCAUAAUGGCUUUAAGCGACCCGUCUUGAAACACGGACCAAGGAGUCUAACAUGCCUGCGAGUAUUUGGGUGGAAAACCCAAGUGCGUAAUGAAAGUGAAAGUUGAGAUCCCUGUCGUGGGGAGCAUCGACGCCCGGACCAGAACUUUUGGGACGGAUCCGCGGUGGAGCAUGUAUGUUGGGACCCGAAAGAUGGUGAACUAUGCCUGAAUAGGGUGAAGCCAGAGGAAACUCUGGUGGAGGCUCGUAGCGAUUCUGACGUGCAAAUCGAUCGUC